GAUGAAGAACGCAGUGAAAUGCGAUAAGUAGUGUGAAUUGCAGAAUUCAGUGAAUCAUCGAAUCUUUGAACGCACAUUGCGCCCCUUGGUAUCCCGAGGGGCAUGCCUGUUCGAGCGUCAUUUCACCACUCAAGCCUGGCUUGGUGUUGGGCGACGUCCCCUUUAGGGACGCGCCUCGAAACGCUCGGCGGCGUGGCACCGGCUUUAAGCGUAGCAGAAUCUUUCGCUUUGGAAGUCGGGGCCCCGCCUGCCGGAAUACCUACUCGUAAGGUUGACCUCGGAUCAGGCAGGGAUACCCGCUGAACUUAAGCAUAUCAAUAAGCGGAGGA
This 329-nucleotide unclassified non-coding RNA is filed under the name soil metagenome. RNAcentral's name for it is "partial contains 5.8S ribosomal RNA, internal transcribed spacer 2, and large subunit ribosomal RNA". The stretch from base 1 to 120 matches the Rfam family "5.8S ribosomal RNA", at positions 35 to 154 of the family's 154-position model. The record is from RNAcentral.